GACGAACGCUGGCGGCGUGCUUAACACAUGCAAGUCGAACGAUGAAGCCGGAGCUUGCUCUGGUGAAUUAGUGGCGAACGGGUGAGUAACACGUGAGUAACCUGCCCUUGACUCUGGGAUAACUGCUAGAAAUGGUAGCUAAUACCGGAUACGACCCUCGGCGGCAUCGCCAGGGGGUGGAAAGAAUUUCGGUCAAGGAUGGACUCGCGGCCUAUCAGCUAGUUGGUGAGGUAACGGCUCACCAAGGCGACGACGGGUAGCCGGCCUGAGAGGGUGACCGGCCACACUGGGACUGAGAUACGGCCCAGACUCCUACGGGAGGCAGCAGUGGGGAAUAUUGCACAAUGGGCGCAAGCCUGAUGCAGCGACGCCGCGUGAGGGAUGACGGCCUUCGGGUUGUAAACCUCUUUCAGCACCGACGAAGCGCAAGUGACGGUAGGUGCAGAAGAAGGACCGGCCAACUACGUGCCAGCCGCCGCAGUAA
Molecule: ribosomal RNA, 484 nt
Filed under: uncultured bacterium
Lineage: Bacteria
Description: partial 16S ribosomal RNA
Rfam family: Bacterial small subunit ribosomal RNA
Source: RNAcentral